GGGGAAUUUUGGACAAUGGGGACAACCCUGAUCCAGCAAUGCCGCGUGAGUGAAGAAGGCCUUCGGGUUGUAAAGCUCUUUUGUCAGGGAAGAAAUCGUGGACUCUAACAUAGUCUGCGGAUGACGGUACCUGAAGAAUAAGCACCGGCUAACUACGUGCCAGCAGCCGCGGUAAUACGUAGGGUGCAAGCGUUAAUCGGAAUUACUGGGCGUAAAGCGUGCGCAGGCGGUUUUGUAAGUCUGAUGUGAAAUCCCCGGGCUUAACCUGGGAACUGCAUUGGAGACUGCAAGGCUAGAGUGUGUCAGAGGGGGGUAGAAUUCCACGUGUAGCAGUGAAAUGCGUAGAUAUGUGGAGGAAUACCGAUGGCGAAGGCAGCCCCCUGGGAUAACACUGACGCUCAUGCACGAAAGCGUGGGGAGCAAACAGGA
RNAcentral lists this ribosomal RNA (429 nucleotides) under uncultured Undibacterium sp. RNAcentral describes it as "bacterial SSU rRNA". It matches the Rfam family "Bacterial small subunit ribosomal RNA", at positions 356 to 777 of the family's 1533-position model. Lineage: Bacteria; Pseudomonadati; Pseudomonadota; Betaproteobacteria; Burkholderiales; Oxalobacteraceae. The record is from RNAcentral.